GUACAAGCCAAAUUAAGGUGAAACCGCGAAAGGCUCAUUAAAUCAGUUAUGGUUCCUUAGAUCGUACCCACAUUUACUUGGAUAACUGUGGUAAUUCUAGAGCUAAUACAUGCAAACAGAGCUCCGACCGGAGACGGAAGGAGCGCUUUUAUUAGAUCAAAACCAAUCGGUGGCGGGCUCGCUCGUCAUCGUACAUUUUGGUGACUCUGAAUAACUUUUUGCUGAUCGCACGGUCCAGCACCGGCGACGCAUCUUUCAAAUGUCUGCCUUAUCAACUGUCGAUGGUAGGUUCUGCGCCUACCAUGGUUGUAACGGGUAACGGGGAAUCAGGGUUCGAUUCCGGAGAGGGAGCCUGAGAAACGGCUACCACAUCCAAGGAAGGCAGCAGGCGCGCAAAUUACCCACUCCCGGCACGGGGAGGUAGUGACGAAAAAUAACGAUACGGGACUCAUCCGAGGCCCCGUAAUCGGAAUGAGUACACUCUAAACCCUUUAACGAGGAUCAAUUGGAGGGCAAGUCUGGUGCCAGCAGCCGCGGUAAUUCCAGCUCCAAUAGCGUAUAUUAAAGUUGUUGCGGUUAAAAAGCUCGUAGUCGAAUCUGUGUCCCGCGCCGCCGGUUCAUCGCUCGCGGUGUUCAACUGGCGUGCCGCGGGACGUCCUGCCGGUGGGCUUAGUCCGUCCGCGGGCGGCCCAACUUGAAAUCCCACCGCGGUGCUCUUGACUGAGUGUCGAGGUGGGCCGGCACGUUUACUUUGAACAAAUUAGAGUGCUUAAAGCAGGCUAAAACUUCGCCUGAAUACUGUGUGCAUGGAAUAAUGGAAUAGGACCUCGGUUCUAUUUUGUUGGUUUUCGGAACCCCGAGGUAAUGAUUAAUAGGAACGGAUGGGGGCAUUCGUAUUGCGACGUUAGAGGUGAAAUUCUUGGAUCGUCGCAAGACGGACAGAAGCGAAAGCAUUUGCCAAAAACGCUUUCAUUGAUCAAGAACGAAAGUUAGAGGUUCGAAGGCGAUCAGAUACCGCCCUAGUUCUAACCAUAAACGAUGCCAGCUAGCGAUCCGCCGACGUUCCUCCGAUGACUCGGCGGGCAGCU
RNAcentral lists this ribosomal RNA (1088 nucleotides) under Pelthydrus sp. SLE0947. RNAcentral describes it as "SSU rRNA". It matches the Rfam family "Eukaryotic small subunit ribosomal RNA", at positions 63 to 1088 of the family's 1831-position model. The record is from RNAcentral. Lineage: Eukaryota; Metazoa; Arthropoda; Insecta; Coleoptera; Hydrophilidae.